This 73-nucleotide transfer RNA is filed under the name Pseudolactococcus insecticola. RNAcentral's name for it is "Lactococcus insecticola tRNA". It matches the Rfam family "tRNA". From Rfam's summary of the family: Transfer RNA (tRNA) molecules are approximately 80 nucleotides in length. Their secondary structure includes four short double-helical elements and three loops (D, anti-codon, and T loops). Further hydrogen bonds mediate the characteristic L-shaped molecular structure. tRNAs have two regions of fundamental functional importance: the anti-codon, which is responsible for specific mRNA codon recognition, and the 3' end, to which the tRNAs corresponding amino acid is attached (by aminoacyl-tRNA synthetases). tRNAs cope with the degeneracy of the genetic code in two manners: having more than one tRNA (with a specific anti-codon) for a particular amino acid; and 'wobble' base-pairing, i.e. permitting non-standard base-pairing at the 3rd anti-codon position. Lineage: Bacteria; Bacillati; Bacillota; Bacilli; Lactobacillales; Streptococcaceae. The record is from Rfam by way of RNAcentral.
GCCAACUUAGCUCAGUUGGUAGAGCAGCUCACUCGUAACGAGCAGGUCACAGGUUCGAUCCCUGCAGUUGGCA